This 218-nucleotide long non-coding RNA is filed under the name Homo sapiens (human). RNAcentral's name for it is "LHRI_LNC1359.1". Lineage: Eukaryota; Metazoa; Chordata; Mammalia; Primates; Hominidae. The record is from RNAcentral.
CCUGACCUCGUGAUCCGCCCUCCUCGGCCUCCCAAAGUGGUGGGAUUACAGGUGUGAGCCACCGCACCUGGCAGGAAAGAUUUUAAAGUGCUUUGAAGUCUAUAUGUCAAACAUAAGAAGACAGUGUUGAUAUAGUAGUUGCAGGAGAAUUACUUUGUUAACCAGUUAAACAAUAUCAUGGGUCAUAUUGAUGUUUCUCUUCAUUCAAGACUGGGCGG